GAGGGUAUAGCUCAGUGGUAGAGUGCGUGCUUAGCAUGCACGAAGUCCUGGGUUCAAUCCCCAGUACCUCCA
This 72-nucleotide transfer RNA is filed under the name Camelus bactrianus (Bactrian camel). It matches the Rfam family "tRNA". Rfam says of the family: Transfer RNA (tRNA) molecules are approximately 80 nucleotides in length. Their secondary structure includes four short double-helical elements and three loops (D, anti-codon, and T loops). Further hydrogen bonds mediate the characteristic L-shaped molecular structure. tRNAs have two regions of fundamental functional importance: the anti-codon, which is responsible for specific mRNA codon recognition, and the 3' end, to which the tRNAs corresponding amino acid is attached (by aminoacyl-tRNA synthetases). tRNAs cope with the degeneracy of the genetic code in two manners: having more than one tRNA (with a specific anti-codon) for a particular amino acid; and 'wobble' base-pairing, i.e. permitting non-standard base-pairing at the 3rd anti-codon position. The record is from Rfam by way of RNAcentral. RNAcentral also lists the same sequence under 1 other name. Lineage: Eukaryota; Metazoa; Chordata; Mammalia; Artiodactyla; Camelidae.